Molecule: non-coding RNA, 127 nt
Organism: Propithecus coquereli (Coquerel's sifaka)
Lineage: Eukaryota; Metazoa; Chordata; Mammalia; Primates; Indriidae
Source: Ensembl
GGCCUGUCUCCCAGGGGAUUGUUGGGGUCCCUUUUCUCCUUAGCCAGGUGAGAGGCCAAGCCCAGCUCUUGAGGGUCAUCAGGACUGUCAUGAGCUGGGCAGCCUUGUUUUCCUACCUCAGAUAGUU